AGCAAACUCAGGCGUGGCUGUGACAUGGCGUGGAGCAGACUCAGACGUGGCUGUGACAUGGUGUCGAGCAGACUCAGGCGUGGCUGUGACAUGGCAUGAAGCUGACUCAGGCGUGGGAGGCUCGAAAGCUGGGAUUCCCUCCAUUGAUUUAGAUUUGGUAACUAAAACAUGAACUCAAACACUGUGUUACCAGGCUCGUCAUUCCUUUAUUUGUGACACUCCAUGGCACCUUGACACGAGACCUUAUGAAAGAUAACAGACCGAGGUCCCAGUUUUUCAAAGAUGAAGGUGCGUUUAACAGGCCAUUUCGCUGAGAAAACCCAGAACCAGUUGCAGCAUUGUUGUUCAGCCGGGUCCAGACUUCAAAAGGUCCUGAUCCUCCAGCCAAACACAACAUUGACUCAGACCUCAAUAAAGCAUC
Long non-coding RNA from Myxocyprinus asiaticus (Chinese sucker), 421 nucleotides. RefSeq lists it as uncharacterized. Lineage: Eukaryota; Metazoa; Chordata; Actinopteri; Cypriniformes; Catostomidae. The record is from RefSeq and is a predicted model, not a curated record. The transcript has 3 exons.